This 423-nucleotide ribosomal RNA is filed under the name uncultured bacterium. Its description in RNAcentral is "bacterial SSU rRNA". It matches the Rfam family "Bacterial small subunit ribosomal RNA", at positions 358 to 775 of the family's 1533-position model. The record is from RNAcentral.
GGAAUCUUCCGCAAUGGACGAAAGUCUGACGGAGCAACGCCGCGUGAGUGAGGAAGGCCUUCGGGUCGUAAAGCUCUGUUGCCAGGGAAGAACAGGCACAUGUUAACUGCAUGUGCUGUGACGGUACCUGAGAAGAAAGCCCCGGCUAACUACGUGCCAGCAGCCGCGGUAAUACGUAGGGGGCAAGCGUUGUCCGGAAUUAUUGGGCGUAAAGCGCGCGCAGGCGGCCAUGUAAGUCUGAUGUUUAAGCCCGGGGCUCAACCUCGGUUCGCAUCGGAAACUGUGUGGCUUGAGUGCAGAAGAGGAAAGUGGAAUUCCACGUGUAGCGGUGAAAUGCGUAGAGAUGUGGAGGAACACCAGUGGCGAAGGCGACUUUCUGGACUGUAACUGACGCUGAGGCGCGAAAGCGUGGGGAUCAAACAG